UAGAAUUGACGGGGCCGCGACAAGCGUGGAGCAUGUGGUUUAAUUCGAAGCAACGCGAAGAACCUUACCUACCCUUGACAUGUCCGGAACUUGCCAGAGAUGGCUUGGUGUCCGAAAGGGAAUCGGAACACAGGUGCUGCAUGGCUGUCGUCAGCUCGUGUCGUGAGAUGUUGGGUUAAGUCCCGCAACGAGCCGCAACCCCUAUCAUUAGUUGCUACGCAAGGGCACUCUAAUGAGACUGCCGGUGACAAACCGGAGGAAGGUGGGGAUGACGUCAAGUCCUCAUGGCCCUUAUGGGUAGGGCUUCACACGUCAUACAAUGGUCGGUACAGAGGGUUGCCAAGCCGCGAGGCGGAGCCAAUCCCACAAAGCCGAUCGUAGUCCGGAUUGUUCUCUGCAACUCGAGAGCAUGAAGUCGGAAUCGCUAGUAAUCGCAGGUCAGCAUACUGCGGUGAAUACGUUCCCGGGUCUU
Molecule: ribosomal RNA, 472 nt
Filed under: uncultured Thiobacillus sp.
Lineage: Bacteria; Pseudomonadati; Pseudomonadota; Betaproteobacteria; Nitrosomonadales; Thiobacillaceae
Description: bacterial SSU rRNA
Rfam family: Bacterial small subunit ribosomal RNA
Source: RNAcentral